GCCAGACUUUUGCCGCUUUGGCUGAUUGGCUAGCGGAGAUGCCAUAUGAUGCCAUAAUGCGGACGUUUUUAAUUGCAAAACUGAAAAUGGCAAUGCUGCACCUCGCGCGUUACUUUCAAAAUGGCUGCUGGCAUUGGUCGACACGACGAGAAUCGACAACAACUGAUAGAUCCCCACAGUAGUGAUCGUCCUGGUUUGUAAUGUGCCAGUUCAUGUGAAAUCUUGAGCUGAACGCCAAAUAUCAGGCUAGAUGCCUAGAUCUUUCCAAGAUAAGGCAAUGUGAUUUUUCGAAGAAAUUGUGCUUAUCGCGUGCUGUGGUUUGUUGGGUAAUUCAGCAUGCUAAAUGUAAAUGAUUCCUGACUCUAGAUUUUCGGGGUAUUUGGGAAAUGAGAACUACAGAAGCAGAUGUUUGAUAUGGGCCUAUUCACUUCAGCCUGCAUUUACUUAUUCAAAUGUCAACUUUGGGGUAGUCACUAGUCAAUAGGUGUGUAAAAUUGUGUCCACCAGGUGGCGGAGUGUUUGUUCGUGAGUGAGUGAGUGACCGGUGACGAUUCCGGAUUCCGCCAUUUGCUUUUUGAGACAGACGGAAAUGUAAAUGUGUUGCUGACGGUGUUUUUCGCUUUUACUUUGAAAAAACCAUGAGGUAUUUCCACGCCAUUCGACCAAGCUGAAUUGAAAGUGAACAAUUCAAAAGCAAGUUACAUGUCGAAGAUCUUCUACCUUACUCCACGUUAUCGCUGCCAUGUCACGAAGAUGCGCUUUUGAGAGGGUCUCUACUAAAUUGCAAGACAAAAAUGUGUUGAAAACACUCAGGAAAUCUGAAAUGGUAAUAAUGUAUUGUAAGAUAAAUCAAGUAGGGUAGCAUUUUGUUCUUGAUGUCGAAGACAAGUGACAUCUUAUUUCAUGCUUCUAAAUAAGUUAGCUUUUGUGGAAAGUUCUUGUAAAGAGUUGUAAAUUUUGUUAGAUCUAACAGAACAGAAAUUCCCUUCAUUCUUAAAAACAUAACACAGUCUAUGGUAAUAUUUUUUAUUUCUUUUUCUCUAGUUUAGUGUACAUUUGAAGUUAAUCAUUGCCUUAACUACUAGGUGUUUUUUGCAGGUGGUUUUUUGUUUAUUUAACAGUUUUAAGCCAAAGUUAAACAUCACUUGCAUGUAUUUUCAUGUUUUUCUUUGCAAAUUUUAUUAUCAAUAUUUUUUUCUUUGGCCAUUAAUGUUAUUUUCCUUUGUGUGAUUCCAUGGUCAGUUUGAUGUUUGAGUUGUUUUGGUGUUGCUGUUGUGCAGUGGUUUUGCAGCCCUUUUCCAGUUGAGAGCUGCACUUGAAUGGAGCUUGUGCAGACUUGUAGUUGAACAUCAUACUUAAAUGUGUCAUUUGCCUAUGUUGGUGUCCAUGCAGUGUUGAACAGUUGGAUAAAAUUGUCAAUGUUGCCUGAUGGCUGUUGGGCUUAUUUUAUCGGCUUCGUUUUGUCGAUAUGUCUUCUCUUGCUACCUGUUCCGGCGUUGAGUUCAAUCGUUUGCCGCUUUCCGGCUUCGACUUGAUUCAUUGGUGAAACUGAGGUUGCUGAAAUUCAAGACUCGUCAAUAUAAAUUAUGUAGAU
Long non-coding RNA from Daphnia pulex (common water flea), 1594 nucleotides. RefSeq lists it as uncharacterized. NCBI's taxonomy places the organism in Eukaryota, Metazoa, Arthropoda, Branchiopoda, Diplostraca, Daphniidae. The record is from RefSeq and is a predicted model, not a curated record. The transcript is spliced from 6 exons.